UACAGAGGGUGCAAGCGUUAAUCGGAAUUACUGGGCGUAAAGCGCUCGUAGGUGGAUCUUUAAGUCGAUUGUGAAAGCCCCGGGCUCAACCUGGGAAUGGCACUCGAAACUGUAGAUCUAGAGUAUGGUAGAGGAAAGUAGAAUUCCCGGUGUAGCGGUGAAAUGCGUAGAUAUCGGGAGGAAUACCAGUGGCGAAGGCGGCUUUCUGGACCAAUACUGACACUGAGGGGCGAAAGCGUGGGGAGCGAACGGG
This 253-nucleotide ribosomal RNA is filed under the name uncultured bacterium. RNAcentral describes it as "partial 16S ribosomal RNA". It matches the Rfam family "Bacterial small subunit ribosomal RNA", at positions 524 to 776 of the family's 1533-position model. The record is from RNAcentral.